AUUGAACGCUGGCGGCAUGCUUUACACAUGCAAGUCGAACGGCAGCGCGGGGCAACCUGGCGGCGAGUGGCGAACGGGUGAGUAAUACAUCGGAACGUACCCAGAAGUGGGGGAUAACGUAGCGAAAGUUACGCUAAUACCGCAUACGUUCUACGGAAGAAAGUGGGGGACCUUCGGGCCUCAUGCUUUUGGAGCGGCCGAUGUCUGAUUAGCUAGUUGGUGAGGUAAAGGCUCACCAAGGCGACGAUCAGUAGCUGGUCUGAGAGGACGACCAGCCAAACUGGGACUGAGACACGGCCCAGACUCCUACGGGAGGCAGCAGUGGGGAAUUUUGGACAAUGGGCGCAAGCCUGAUCCAGCAAUGCCGCGUGAGUGAAGAAGGCCUUCGGGUUGUAAAGCUCUUUUGUCAGGGAAGAAACGGCUGGGGUUAAUACCUUCGGCUAAUGACGGUACCUGAAGAAUAAGCACCGGCUAACUACGUGCCAGCAGCCGCCGUAA
Molecule: ribosomal RNA, 498 nt
Filed under: uncultured bacterium
Lineage: Bacteria
Description: partial 16S ribosomal RNA
Rfam family: Bacterial small subunit ribosomal RNA
Source: RNAcentral